RNAcentral lists this ribosomal RNA (292 nucleotides) under uncultured bacterium. RNAcentral's name for it is "partial 16S ribosomal RNA". It matches the Rfam family "Bacterial small subunit ribosomal RNA", at positions 334 to 624 of the family's 1533-position model. The record is from RNAcentral.
GAUUCCUAGGGACGCAGCAGUGAGGAAUAUUGGUCAAUGGGCGGGAGCCUGAACCAGCCAAGUCGCGUGAGGGAAGACGGUCCUAUGGAUUGUAAACCUCUUUAGGCGGGGAGCAAUGCCGGGCACGCGUGCCCGGAGGGAGAGUACCCGCAGAAUAAGCAUCGGCUAACUCCGUGCCAGCAGCCGCGGUAAUACGGAGGAUGCGAGCGUUAUCCGGAUUUAUUGGGUUUAAAGGGUGCGUAGGCGGGUUUUUAAGUCAGCGGUAAAAUGUCCGGGCGCAACCCGGGCCGGC